AUUGAACGCUGGCGGCAGGCCUAACACAUGCAAGUCGAACGAGUGGCGGACGGGUGAGUAAUGUCUGGGAAACUGCCUGAUGGAGGGGGAUAACUACUGGAAACGGUAGCUAAUACCGCAUACCAUCAGAUGUGCCCAGAUGGGAUUAGCUAGUGGGUGGGGUAAUGGCUCACCUAGGCGACGCUCCCUAGCUGGUCUGAGAGGAUGACCAGCCAAACUGGAACGGAGACACGGUCCAGACUCCUACGGGAGGCAGCAGGGGGGAAUAUUGCACAAUGGGGGCAAGCCUGAUGCAGCCAUGCGGCGGGUUUGAAGAAGGCCUUCGGGUUGUAAAGUACUUUCAGCGGGGAGGCGUUACUCGCAGAAGAAGUACCGGCUAACUCCGUGCCAGCAGCCGCGGUAAUAC
This 406-nucleotide ribosomal RNA is filed under the name uncultured bacterium. Its description in RNAcentral is "partial 16S ribosomal RNA". It matches the Rfam family "Bacterial small subunit ribosomal RNA", at positions 30 to 526 of the family's 1533-position model. The record is from RNAcentral.